GUGCACAUUACCUAGUUAAUCUGCAUAUUACCUACUAGGUACUCGUUAAAGUGCACAACAAUCAUUCUGUCCUCCAUCUCUCUGAGGGGCUCACAGCUCUGGAUUAUACCAUGGUGUGCACAGGCUGCUGUUCUGUUCUUGUCUGGAGUCAAGAACAUAGUCACAUACCUCUUCAAACAGUUAUCUUGAACUGGUAAGAAACAAGGAGCCCCCACCACCACAAGAGAGCGAGUGCUUCCUGCACAUUAUACAGCAACACCCUGAAAUGAUCCCAGCAGAUGCUCUCCACUGUUCUCAAUAUCAUCAUAUAUUUGAAGACUGUCGGAAUCAGUGGUCCAUGAGCAGACCUCUCCUUGGUCUCAUUCUCCUCAAUGAGAGAAGUACUUCUCGAACUCAGGGAGCAGCAUUGUUAGUAGCCAGCCCACCUAUGAGAAACAACAAGCCAUGCGCCUAUGCUUUGAGAAUUUGAUGGUGGAGGGCAUUGAUAGGAACCUGCUCACAAAAAGAAUCGAGACAGGGUUCACACAGAAUCCUUCACACAAAAUGCCUUCAGACGAGAAGUGAACGACUCUGCAGAGACUGCACUGAAAGGGUUCUGCAAGGACGUUUUUGUAAUAAAUCAUUUCCCCUUUUACUGAGGGAAAG
This is a non-coding RNA of Pelobates cultripes (western spadefoot toad), 645 nucleotides long. The record is from the annotation of a GenBank genome assembly. Lineage: Eukaryota; Metazoa; Chordata; Amphibia; Anura; Pelobatidae.